UAGUAGGUGGCUCUCACUGGAGUGAAGCA
This 29-nucleotide non-coding RNA is filed under the name Mus musculus (house mouse). Lineage: Eukaryota; Metazoa; Chordata; Mammalia; Rodentia; Muridae. The record is from RNAcentral.